AAGUGAAUAAGUUUGUGGAUUUUCUAGUGAUUAGUGAAGAAUCGUAAUAUAUGAUUUGGAUAUUAUUGAUUAUUGAUUUCGUGAUUGAAUAUAGUGUUUUUAGGGAUGGAAUGUGAUCAUAUAUUGAUUUGAAAAACGACAUAGAUUCUUUAUUUUUGUUGAACGGUUUAGAUUGAAGGGAAUUAAUUUUAUUGAACGGUUUAGAUUGAAUCGGAUCAUAUACAGUUUAGGAGAUUGUUAAGACCAAAUUAUCCUAAAUGAUUUUGAAUAGCGAGAAAAAAUUCCAAAAUUGAAAUCAAAAUUGAGGCCAAAUUAGACCAAAUUUCAAUUUGUACUUCCUUUUUAAUAAUAAAGGGAUUAGAUUGAAAUUGUUAAAAUUUCAAUAUAGUAUAC
This 393-nucleotide small RNA is filed under the name Arabidopsis thaliana (thale cress). Its description in RNAcentral is "ATSL208420". The record is from RNAcentral. Lineage: Eukaryota; Viridiplantae; Streptophyta; Magnoliopsida; Brassicales; Brassicaceae.